CUUUCAGAAACUGUCGAUCGAGGAGUCCUUGAUGGGGAGGAUAGUGUGCCUCUCCAUCGAGAAGAUUCAAUAACUACACUCCCUUGAUGAAGCUGAGGGAGAAUAUGCUGGUGCAAAUCAAGAGGUAGAAUCCAGAGGCUACACCAAUGUGGACUCAUCUGGCUCGGAGAAAUACUAAUAAAUAAUACCUGUAUCACAAAGAUCAUGGUCAUGACAUGGAGGAGUGCUUGCAGCUCUGAGACGAGAUCGAGGAGCUCAUCAGAUGUGGCUGUCUAGAUCAUUUUAUUCAGCGUAGGAGAGAGUAGGAGAACUGACAAAGAUCUCCACAGCCCCAGGAACAACCACCACC
This 349-nucleotide long non-coding RNA is filed under the name Elaeis guineensis (African oil palm). Its description in RNAcentral is "long non-coding RNA (EGUI_LNC001446)". Lineage: Eukaryota; Viridiplantae; Streptophyta; Magnoliopsida; Arecales; Arecaceae. The record is from RNAcentral.